GAGCUUGUGGCGCAACGGUAGCGCGUCUGACUCCCGAUCAGAAGGUUGCGUGUUCGAGUUACGUCAAGCUCU
Hemiscyllium ocellatum (epaulette shark) is the source of this 72-nucleotide non-coding RNA. The record is from the annotation of a RefSeq genome assembly. NCBI's taxonomy places the organism in Eukaryota, Metazoa, Chordata, Chondrichthyes, Orectolobiformes, Hemiscylliidae.